UAGAUAUCAUCCACUACAAUGAAGAACAAUAGUAACAUUUCUCUAUACCUUGAACAAUAAUAAAUCAUUUACAGUACAUUUGGCCAAGCAACCAAUUAGUAGAAGAACAAUGACAUUUCUCUAUUUCUUGAAUUCCACAUAUGGGAGUAUGGAUGGCGUCACUCGUAACAAUACAUAUGCCUUUUGUUUAUUUGCCUGGCAAAAUCAUCAGAUGAAUCAAUCAAAUAGGAGGAGCUGGGCAAUAUAUUUCAAACCAAAACAAAGAAUUGAUCCUAACUACAUGAAGUGCAGUAGCUUUAAAGCCUCCAAAUUAUUUUGCUGCUACUCCACCAGGAACGUGCAGGGCUUCAAGAACCCAAAGGCGCCACUCGAGCUCUUUUCGGCCUCAUAAGCCCUGUUGUUGUUUAUAUCCUUAACCCAAAAGGUUGCCUCUUAGCAUCUCUAUUGUUCUCCCGAUCCUUGUUAGGUGUCGGCUUAUCCUGAAGAAAAGGCAAUUGAUAUAGUAUUAUCAUUAAAUAAAUCCACAGUUAACAUAUGGAUCGUGGGGAAUGGCAAGAUGCCAUAUUGUGGUUCGCAACACGAAUAGAAGACCACUAAUUUAAUGCCACUAAUUUACAGAAGGGCAAAAAUGCCUGAACACCCUUAAGAAAGGCCAUGAUGAUGAGGUGAGAACAGGCAGGCUAGUCAUCCAAGUGAAACUUAAAAUGGAACAAAAAAAUUGCCAUAAUGGUGUUGCUUGGAAAAUUCACAGUACAAUGCAGAAUGGAAUUAGUGUGACGUGUUGAUGCCACUAAAAAAACACCCUUAAGAAACACAAUCAAUUGAACCUUGAACAGAAGUAGGCCUAGAGCUAGAAAACAAUACAUCAUAUUACUAAGCAAAAGCAAAUAGAAAUAUCAAAUUGAGAGGUAGAACUAUUUGAAAACAAAAAAUUAGGCCAAGUAAAACAGAAAUAUCAGUGAUUUUCUCGACAUCACUUAAGUAGAGCAAACAAAAGAUAAGUCUGAACAUUGCUUUUAUUUAGCCACAGCAUAGCACAAGCUUACUUAAUAUCCUAGGCAUAAGCACGACUAGCAGCAACAUAUGAGCAUUUGACAAAUGCAAGAUAGCACAACCAAUUUUAAACUUUGCACAACUUCAUGAAUAUACUUAAUAUCCUGGCAGCACCAUAUCCAUGCUACUUGAGGAAGUAAAUAAUCAAAUGGCAAUCACACAGGAGUUGUAGGGUUUUAUCGUUCCCGCUUUACAAUCCGAACAAAACUAUAUACUAUUAUAGUUGAUCUGCAAGAAAAUUACAUGAUACGACAAUGGCUUCGACAAAUAUCCAUCUUUUAUGGCAUAAACACAUAUAUAUUGAUUACAGUCAGUAAUGAGAAGUGAUGGUAGCUCACUCUAUAACAUCAUCCACACCAGGAAAAUAUGGUAAAGCAGUCAGAUCCCACGACAAAUAUGAUAUGAAAAUCUUGGAAAGAGAACUAUCUAGAGAACAAACUUACAUGUAAAGAUGUGUUAUGGCCUAUGAAAAUGGAGUGGUGUGAUGUCACAUUAUUUGGCUAUUGCUGUAGAAAAGCUGCUGCAACAACAAAAGAAAAACUAAAAAAUUGUGCUUAUACGCAGUAUAAUGCCUGGUCAUCAAUAUUUUGCAUCAAAUCUCAGCAAAUGCUCUAAAUACAUAUAUCAGGAACUUCUUCUAAUACUCUAGUAACAUAAUCUAAAUUAGCUGAUGUGGAAUCCUUCAAAACUAAUCGGCUGACAUAAAACCGGUGAAAUCAAUAACACAAGAAUAAUAAUUAAAUGCUUAGUUUUACUUAAAGGUAUUUUAUUUACAUAUCUAAAGCCAUCGGCGCCUGACAUUAUCAAAUUAUAAUAAUCAGUAUGCCACACUACACAUCUAUUUAACUUGCAAUAAAACUUCAACAAACAUAUCAACCAACGGUAACUGCUGUAUGCCAUGUAGAGAAAAUUGCACUCUGGCAGAGCAACGACAUGCUAGAAGCUGACAAAAGUAUUACAGAUUGACAAUAAAUAAUAGACAGCUCCAUCAGUAGCCACCGUUGUUGGGCUAUCAAAUUAAAAUUCCAUAUCUAUCAGAAAACUGAGAAAGCUUGAGGGGCUCUUAAAUACGAAGAAACGGCAUGUGCAGAGGGGCCAUACAUACUGAUUAAGAAAACUCACUUUUUAGCAACCAGACUCCCUUCAUUCAACGAUGGAGAGGUGGGGGCAUGACCAUGGGAUUUGGGCUCAGGAGCAGUAGGGCUAGAGAAACCAUACACAUCAUAACGAUGAUGUACUUCGACAACCAUGCAUAGAGCAACACAUCCUCGGCGCCCUUCUCUUUGCCACCGCCAAACAGGAGCCGGUGGUGAGGCGCCGGCCGGCUGGCGUCACCUCUUCCACUCCGCCGCAAAUCUGUUAGCAAUGCCUGACCUCCGCCCACCCUCGUAUCCCCUCUCCUCUGCAACGACUCGCUCUGUCCUCGAUCUCAACUAAUACAUCAGGAAAUAUAAAGAAUUAGUCCCUAAGCAUCAACUGUACUGAUGCAGUAGGCACAGCUUCAUAUUAUGGAUCUUAAGUUCAUCAUACUUUGUUUGAAAAAACAUCAGAAUUUCAUCAAAGGAAACAGUUUAAACUUAACUGUAUUUGCUAGUCUCAAAUUAAAUUAUCUCUGUGGGAUUGACAAAAAUCUGUCACCAUUGAAACCAACAUAUGGCUGCAAAUGUUAAUAUCCUGGAAUCUGCACUGCAUCCAGUUAGUUUCUCAAUGGUAUAUAUUUUGGAAAACUGAAACGACAUGUGCAUAUUAGGUGAAACUUGCAGGAUUAUGUGCUAAUUAUAUCUAUUUUCCAUGACCUAUAGGGUUAUGAUUUCCUUUUUGGUAGAUCAAUAAUGGUUAUCCAGUAGUGCUAAUACAGAAGAAAGGUUUAAACGAACAAUAGUCAGACAAAGCAACACGGGGAGGUGAUUGCUUACAUAUAAAACACGGGGAGGUGCUCGCUUGCUUCACCUCACCUGAACGGCCCCAUCGAAGGAAAAAAAAGGAAAACAGGCGCACGAGCCUGCAUUGUAACAUAGGAGAGCAAGCUUGAGGCAUAGAGAAGAAAAGCAGAAUUAUAUUAGAUAUUUGUGUCAAACCUCCC
RNAcentral lists this long non-coding RNA (3136 nucleotides) under Triticum aestivum (bread wheat). RNAcentral's name for it is "long non-coding RNA (TAES_LNC020570)". Lineage: Eukaryota; Viridiplantae; Streptophyta; Magnoliopsida; Poales; Poaceae. The record is from RNAcentral.